GAUGAACGCUGGCGGCGUGCCUAAUACAUGCAAGUCGAGCGAACAGAUGAGGAGCUUGCUCCUCUGACGUUAGCGGCGGACGGGUGAGUAACACGUGGAUAACCUACCUAUAAGACUGGGAUAACUUCGGGAAACCGGAGCUAAUACCGGAUAAUAUAUUGAACCGCAUGGUUCAAUAGUGAAAGACGGUUUUGCUGUCACUUAUAGAUGGAUCCGCGCCGCAUUAGCUAGUUGGUAAGGUAACGGCUUACCAAGGCAACGAUGCGUAGCCGACCUGAGAGGGUGAUCGGCCACACUGGAACUGAGACACGGUCCAGACUCCUACGGGAGGCAGCAGUAGGGAAUCUUCCGCAAUGGGCGAAAGCCUGACGGAGCAACGCCGCGUGAGUGAUGAAGGUCUUCGGAUCGUAAAACUCUGUUAUUAGGGAAGAACAAAUGUGUAAGUAACUAUGCACGUCUUGACGGUACCUAAUCAGAAAGCCACGGCUAACGACG
Molecule: ribosomal RNA, 495 nt
Filed under: uncultured bacterium
Lineage: Bacteria
Description: partial 16S ribosomal RNA
Rfam family: Bacterial small subunit ribosomal RNA
Source: RNAcentral